UAGAAUGUAAAUUCCUCAAGUGUUGCCUGCUCAGUGAUUUUAAAGUAUAUAUAAAUUAAUUUAUUAUAAAAUAAAAUUAAACAGCUGCCUUAGGUAACGAGGGUGAUAAUUAAGCAUAAUCUGAUACCGUUUGAAUGGCGGAGCGUUGAAUGGAGUUACGAGCGUGUCACUGUCUUAAUUGAAAAACCUAUGAAUUUGAAGUACUAGUUAAGAUGCUAGUUAAAAUUGUAAGACGAGAAGACCCUAUAGAGCUUUACUAUAUACUUUUUUACUUUUAUUAUAAAAUUAUAAAGAGAAUAGUUCUUUUUAAGUAUAAUUAUAUGGAUAUAAGAAAGUGUGGUAGUUUAGGUGGGGAGCCUACCUAUUAUUAAAAACAUAGUGUUAACAAUAUAGAUAACAAUCUAUUUAUUGUGUAAAUUUUAUUUUUACCAGUUAUAAACAUAGGUGAAAUGACCCGUUUAGAAUAAUUAUAUAUUUUGCUAACGACAGAAAAUAAAAGCUACCUUAGGGAUAACAGAGUAAUGCUGAUCAGUAGAUCUUAUAUUGAUCAGGGGUUGCCACCUCGAUGUUGAAUUAUGUUGAUCAGGGGUUGCCA
Molecule: ribosomal RNA, 595 nt
Filed under: Chuniphyes multidentata
Lineage: Eukaryota; Metazoa; Cnidaria; Hydrozoa; Siphonophorae; Clausophyidae
Description: partial 16S ribosomal RNA
Rfam family: Bacterial large subunit ribosomal RNA
Source: RNAcentral